RNAcentral lists this ribosomal RNA (750 nucleotides) under Priestia megaterium. RNAcentral describes it as "bacterial SSU rRNA". It matches the Rfam family "Bacterial small subunit ribosomal RNA", at positions 51 to 782 of the family's 1533-position model. Lineage: Bacteria; Bacillati; Bacillota; Bacilli; Caryophanales; Bacillaceae. The record is from RNAcentral.
AUACAUGCAAGUCGAGCGAACUGAUUAGAAGCUUGCUUCUAAGACGUUAGCGGCGGACGGGUGAGUAACACGUGGGCAACCUGCCUGUAAGACUGGGAUAACUUCGGGAAACCGAAGCUAAUACCGGAUAGGAUCUUCUCCUUCAUGGGAGAUGAUUGAAAGAUGGUUUCGGCUAUCACUUACAGAUGGGCCCGCGGUGCAUUAGCUAGUUGGUGAGGUAACGGCUCACCAAGGCAACGAUGCAUAGCCGACCUGAGAGGGUGAUCGGCCACACUGGGACUGAGACACGGCCCAGACUCCUACGGGAGGCAGCAGUAGGGAAUCUUCCGCAAUGGACGAAAGUCUGACGGAGCAACGCCGCGUGAGUGAUGAAGGCUUUCGGGUCGUAAAACUCUGUUGUUAGGGAAGAACAAGUACGAGAGUAACUGCUCGUACCUUGACGGUACCUAACCAGAAAGCCACGGCUAACUACGUGCCAGCAGCCGCGGUAAUACGUAGGUGGCAAGCGUUAUCCGGAAUUAUUGGGCGUAAAGCGCGCGCAGGCGGUUUCUUAAGUCUGAUGUGAAAGCCCACGGCUCAACCGUGGAGGGUCAUUGGAAACUGGGGAACUUGAGUGCAGAAGAGAAAAGCGGAAUUCCACGUGUAGCGGUGAAAUGCGUAGAGAUGUGGAGGAACACCAGUGGCGAAGGCGGCUUUUUGGUCUGUAACUGACGCUGAGGCGCGAAAGCGUGGGGAGCAAACAGGAUUAGA